GAAUCGUUCAAGAAGAUGAUCGUCGGCGAUGGAUGUAUGCCGAAGGUUACUCCACCACCACGGCCUGAGCCACGAUUCCCAGACCCGCGCGACAUUUGUCCCAGCCUCGCAGUGCCUCUCCUCCUCCAAGGCCGACCUCACAGGCCUGCAUCGGGACCUCCAAACCGCCGGUUCUAGAAACUGAGGAAACGCAAUCAAAUUAAUUCGUCCGAGUGUCAAAGGCGAGCUUUAAAGUUAAGGUAAAUUAUUGUUUCCAGGGAACUGCUCGGAGCACAAAGUGCUCUGGAAGUUCUUCAUUAUAAUUUAUCUCUUCCAUCUCAUGUUUGA
Molecule: long non-coding RNA, 327 nt
Organism: Selaginella moellendorffii
Lineage: Eukaryota; Viridiplantae; Streptophyta; Lycopodiopsida; Selaginellales; Selaginellaceae
Exons: 2
Source: RefSeq, a predicted model, not a curated record